UACGGAGGGGGCUAGCGUUGUUCGGAAUUACUGGGCGUAAAGCGCGCGUAGGCGGACCUGCAAGUCGGGGGUGAAAGCCCGAGGCUCAACCUCGGAACUGCCUUCGAUACUGCCGGACUAGAGUUCGGAAGAGGCGAGUGGAAUUCCCGGUGUAGCGGUGAAAUGCGCAGAUAUCGGGAGGAACACCAAUGGCGAAGGCAGCUCGCUGGGACGUUACUGACGCUGAGACGCGAAAGCGUGGGGAGCAAACAGG
RNAcentral lists this ribosomal RNA (253 nucleotides) under uncultured bacterium. Its description in RNAcentral is "partial 16S ribosomal RNA". It matches the Rfam family "Bacterial small subunit ribosomal RNA", at positions 524 to 776 of the family's 1533-position model. The record is from RNAcentral.